CAUGCCGCGUGUGUGAAGAAGGCCUUCGGGUUGUAAAGCACUUUCAGUAGGGAGGAAGGCUUAGGGCUAAUAACCCUGAGUACUUGACGUUACCUACAGAAGAAGCACCGGCUAAUUUCGUGCCAGCAACGUCGGUGACUGAGCGGGCUGGCAAGGCGCAUA
Molecule: ribosomal RNA, 162 nt
Filed under: uncultured bacterium
Lineage: Bacteria
Description: partial 16S ribosomal RNA
Rfam family: Bacterial small subunit ribosomal RNA
Source: RNAcentral